This 268-nucleotide long non-coding RNA is filed under the name Ictidomys tridecemlineatus (thirteen-lined ground squirrel). RNAcentral describes it as "lncRNA (ENSSTOG00000029317.1)". The record is from RNAcentral. Lineage: Eukaryota; Metazoa; Chordata; Mammalia; Rodentia; Sciuridae.
CGGCAGCAGCUGCCCUCUGCAGGUCUCUCUGCGUAAGUGCAGCCUAUUCUUCUAGAAAAACCCAACCCCCAACCUGCCAACCAAGCAAAUUCCUGGGACCCUUCUCUGCUCAGGUUACGCCUCUGCAAUGCUAGUCUCACGCGUUCUAGUCAUUUCUAGUCACCUCUAUCGCUCUGAACUCUGGUAUCUGCUUUUUCAGCUCAGUAAGAUGAUGGCCACUGCUUGGAGCACCUGCCAGUUCCAGGUGUGCAGAAUGGGCUGUGUCUGA